RNAcentral lists this ribosomal RNA (156 nucleotides) under Solanum lycopersicum (tomato). RNAcentral's name for it is "5.8S ribosomal RNA". It matches the Rfam family "5.8S ribosomal RNA". Rfam says of the family: 5.8S ribosomal RNA (5.8S rRNA) is a component of the large subunit of the eukaryotic ribosome. It is transcribed by RNA polymerase I as part of the 45S precursor that also contains 18S and 28S rRNA. Lineage: Eukaryota; Viridiplantae; Streptophyta; Magnoliopsida; Solanales; Solanaceae. The record is from Rfam by way of RNAcentral.
GACUCUCCACAACAGAUUUCUCAGCUCUCACAUCGAUGAAGAACGUAGCGAAAUGUGAUACUUGGUGUGAAUUGCAGAAUCCCGUGAACCAUCGAGUCUUUGAACGCAAGUUGCGCCCGAAGCCAUUUGGCCGAGGGCACGUCUGCCUAGGAGUCA